RNAcentral lists this ribosomal RNA (370 nucleotides) under uncultured organism. Its description in RNAcentral is "bacterial SSU rRNA". It matches the Rfam family "Bacterial small subunit ribosomal RNA", at positions 526 to 896 of the family's 1533-position model. The record is from RNAcentral.
CGUAGGGUGCAAGCGUUAAUCGGAAUUACUGGGCGUAAAGCGUGCGCAGGCGGCUUUGCAAGACAGAUGUGAAAUCCCCGGGCUCAACCUGGGAACUGCAUUUGUGACUGCAUGGCUGGAGUGCGGCAGAGGGGGAUGGAAUUCCGCGUGUAGCAGUGAAAUGCGUAGAUAUGCGGAGGAACACCGAUGGCGAAGGCAAUCCCCUGGGCCUGCACUGACGCUCAUGCACGAAAGCGUGGGGAGCAAACAGGAUUAGAUACCCUGGUAGUCCACGCCCUAAACGAUGUCAACUGGUUGUUGGACGGCUUGCUGUUCAGUAACGAAGCUAACGCGUGAAGUUGACCGCCUGGGGAGUACGGCCGCAAGGUUG